UACGUAGGGCGCAAGCGUUGUCCGGAAUUAUUGGGCGUAAAGAGCUCGUAGGCGGUUUGUCGCGUCUGCUGUGAAAUCCCGAGGCUCAACCUCGGGCUUGCAGUGGGUACGGGCAGACUAGAGUGCGGUAGGGGAGACUGGAAUUCCUGGUGUAGCGGUGGAAUGCGCAGAUAUCAGGAGGAACACCGGUGGCGAAGGCGGGUCUCUGGGCAGUAACUGACGCUGAGGAGCGAAAGCGUGGGGAGCGAACAGG
This 253-nucleotide ribosomal RNA is filed under the name uncultured bacterium. Its description in RNAcentral is "partial 16S ribosomal RNA". It matches the Rfam family "Bacterial small subunit ribosomal RNA", at positions 524 to 776 of the family's 1533-position model. The record is from RNAcentral.